CGGUAAUACGGAGGAUCCAAGCGUUAUCCGGAAUCAUUGGGUUUAAAGGGUCCGUAGGCGGUUUAGUAAGUCAGUGGUGAAAGCCCAUCGCUCAACGGUGGAACGGCCAUUGAUACUGCUAAACUUGAAUUAUUAGGAAGUAACUAGAAUAUGUAGUGUAGCGGUGAAAUGCUUAGAGAUUACAUGGAAUACCAAUUGCGAAGGCAGGUUACUACUAAUGGAUUGACGCUGAUGGACGAAAGCGUGGGUAGCGAACAGGAUUAGAUACCCUGGUAGUCCACGCCGUAAACGAUGGAUACUAGCUGUUGGAAGCAAUUUCAGUGGCUAAGCGAAAGUGAUAAGUAUCCCACCUGGGGAGUACGUUCGCAAGAAUGAA
Molecule: ribosomal RNA, 376 nt
Filed under: uncultured bacterium
Lineage: Bacteria
Description: bacterial SSU rRNA
Rfam family: Bacterial small subunit ribosomal RNA
Source: RNAcentral